Molecule: ribosomal RNA, 466 nt
Filed under: uncultured bacterium
Lineage: Bacteria
Description: partial 16S ribosomal RNA
Rfam family: Bacterial small subunit ribosomal RNA
Source: RNAcentral
GACGAACGCUGGCGGCGUGCUUAACACAUGCAAGUCGAGCGGAAAGGCCCUGCUUGCAGGGUACUCGAGUGGCGAACGGGUGAGUAACACGUGGGUGAUCUGCCCUGCACUUCGGGAUAAGCCUGGGAAACUGGGUCUAAUACCGGAUAGGAGCCAUUUUUAGUGUGAUGGUUGGAAAGUUUUUUUCGGUGUAGGAUGAGCUCGCGGCCUAUCAGCUUGUUGGUGGGGUAAUGGCCUACCAAGGCGGCGACGGGUAGCCGGCCUGAGAGGGUGGACGGCCACAUUGGGACUGAGAUACGGCCCAGACUCCUACGGGAGGCAGCAGUGGGGAAUAUUGCACAAUGGGCGCAAGCCUGAUGCAGCGACGCCGCGUGGGGGAUGACGGCCUUCGGGUUGUAAACUCCUUUCGCUAGGGACGAAGCUUUUUGUGACGGUACCUAGAUAAGAAGCACCGGCUAACUACGUG